Molecule: ribosomal RNA, 471 nt
Filed under: uncultured organism
Description: partial 16S ribosomal RNA
Rfam family: Bacterial small subunit ribosomal RNA
Source: RNAcentral
ACUCCUGCGGGAGGCAGCAGUGGGGAAUUUUGGACAAUGGGCGAAAGCCUGAUCCAGCAAUGCCGCGUGAGUGAAGAAGGCCUUCGGGUUGUAAAGCUCUUUUGUCAGGGAAGAAACGGUGAGAGCUAAUAUCUCUUGCUAAUGACGGUACCUGAAGAAUAAGCACCGGCUAACUACGUGCCAGCAGCCGCGGUAAUACGUAGGGUGCAAGCGUUAAUCGGAAUUACUGGGCGUAAAGCGUGCGCAGGCGGUUUUGUAAGUCUGAUGUGAAAUCCCCGGGCUCAACCUGGGAAUUGCAUUGGAGACUGCAAGGCUAGAAUCUGGCAGAGGGGGGUAGAAUUCCACGUGUAGCAGUGAAAUGCGUAGAUAUGUGGAGGAACACCGAUGGCGAAGGCAGCCCCCUGGGUCAAGAUUGACGCUCAUGCACGAAAGCGUGGGGAGCAAACAGGAUUAGAAACCCCAGUAGUCCCA